Molecule: ribosomal RNA, 251 nt
Filed under: uncultured bacterium
Lineage: Bacteria
Description: partial 16S ribosomal RNA
Rfam family: Bacterial small subunit ribosomal RNA
Source: RNAcentral
GACGAAGGGGGCUAGCGUUGUUCGGAAUUACUGGGCGUAGCGCGUGUAUGCGGUUGUCCAAGUUUGAUGUGAAAGCCUUGAGCUCAACUCAAGAAAUGCAUUCAGGACUGGAUGACUAGAGGACCGGAGAGGAUAGUGGAAUUCCCAGUGUAGUGGUGAAAUACGUAGAGAUUGGGAAGAACACCAGUGGCGAAGGCGGCUAUCUGGACGGUUUCUGACGCUAAGACGCGAAAGCGUGGGGAGCAAACAGG